CUUGCAUAGCCUGUGUGAGGGCCUAGGUUUGAGUCACUCAGAAAAGACUCCUGUGUCCCACAGAUGGGGGAGGAUGGAGAUGGGAAGUGUAUAGGAAGUGAGAUUUGGAGCAUCUUGGGAAGGAGGGGAUGAAAGCAAGGGUCUAGUCACACUGCUGAGUUGCUAUAAUGUGGUGGCUGGUCAGGCAUGGUCUCAUGACCAGGUUUGAGUUUGUGUGCCGCUGCAAGUGACAGAAUACUUGGAAUGGGUGGGAAACAUAAAAUUAUGAGAUAAAUGUCUCAGUUCAUGUUCCACUGGAGGUGACAGAAAGGCAGUCAGGUGGAGGUUAAAGUGAGGCUUUAUCACGGGGAAAAUCUCUUCUUUUCCUUGGGAAUCAGCCUAAUUUUUUUCAACUAUACCUUUCUCCUAAAUAUUUGGUCCUAAAGGAGCUAUAAAUUCCCUGCCCCUGUUACUUGUCAAUAUCAAUAACCAGGUCAAAAGCAAUAGACAACUGCAGGGUCUAACCAAGCAUUGUAGUGAUGGUGAGUUGCAUGCUCUCUGGAAGGCACAUCAAAGUGCUUAGCCCUGCUACCUGAAGAUGUGGCUUAACUGGAAUAGGCUCUUUACAGUUGAAACUGCACUGGAUUAUGGGGAGGGACGGGGGUAAACCCAACAACUGGUGUCCUUAAAAGAACUAGUUAGACAGGUCAUCUGACACCUUUAUUUUGGACUUCUGACCCUCACAACUGUACAAGGAUACAAGUCUCAAGUUCACAGCACUUACUAGACUCGCUCUGGGGCAGUCUCUGCCUUUGGGGUGGGGGUAUGGUUCGGUGGCACAGUGCUUGCCCAGCAUGUCUGAGGCCCUGGCGGGUUCCCAGCGCUAAAGGAAAAAUUCCUUAUUUUCCUGUUAGUGGGUGGGUCAUGGGACCACAUGGAACUGUGUCAACCGCAAAGUGAGUGUGAGCACUUAGCAAGUAGGUCUGGUAGAACAAAUACUCAGAAGAGUCUGUUCCCUAACUCACCUGAAGGGUGUGCUCCCAAUAACCUGGCUGCCUCCCACCAGGCCCCACCUCUUUAAAGGUUCCACCUCCCAACAGUGCCCUGCUGGGGACCAAGCCUUUAACACCAGGGCCUGUGGAAGAUGUCACAGAUCAAGGGCAAAGCAGGCAGAAUUAAUAUAGGAGCAGAAGGUGGACAGCCGAGCUCCCAGUGGUUCAUUUGACAAGCCCAAGCUGUGCAAAGCCUUAGCCUCUCAUCCUGCGUGUCCUGCCCACACUCCUCCUGUGCAGAUGCUCACGUGUCAGUGAGACAACCACCGUUCCCCGGGCUGGCCCGUCUGUGGUGUAGCUGGCUCCUCUUCAGUCUGAAGCGCACAAGGCCCAUUCCCCACCAUCACCUGCAGGUGGUGUUAGUCCCCAGGAGCAACUCCUGUACUUCAUGGCCCUCUCUUCUCCCUGACAACAGUACCUCCAGUGCAGGUGGCCAAUGGUUGCUGCGAUCAGUUGGUGAGGUACAGUCGCACACACAGACAUCGCUGGGUCUCGAACUCCAUGCUGGGGCUGAUGGACACCAGGAACAAGGUGAGAUACUAACUUGCUUCCUUCAAGUGUCCCAAGUGACACUGACCCCCACUAGGUUAGUGAUGCCCAAUCCACCCAAAUCAGGAGCCGUUAGACACACAGCAGAAGAGCAGAUGCUCCCUAAACCAAGGCCAGACUGUCAUUCAGGACGACUGCCAGGAGCCUGUGCACCAAUCUUUAUACUGGGCUUUAUUUUUGUGUUCUUUAAAGUCUGGUUGGGCACAGACACACACACACACACACACACACACACACACACACACACACACACACAGCAGGUUAAAAUAUCCAAAUAAAAUUUACUGCAACUUUUGUAGAAUUUAAUUUGUGCUACAAGACAUGUUGCAUAGGAAACUAUUCAAAGCCCCUGAGGAAAAAUAUUCAUGGUUUAAGGUGCAACUGGUUUUGUUUCUUUGGGGAAAAAAGGCGAGAGAUGAUCUCUGGGCAAAACAAAGGUGCAGAGUGGAGACACAGAGUGAAGGUCAUUUCUGUGACGACUGGGGUUCUGUGUGACUUGGUUCUCGCUGGCAGCAUAAAUAUCUAGUGUCUGUAAGUCUGUUGAUCUUCAAUGUCUGAAUCAGUAGCUAUAUGACGUGUCAGCCCAACAAGGGAUUGUACACUGGUUAAAACUAAGUCAUGAAUGUGUAUCAGGAAAGUGGACAGAGCCUGAAACUCGGAUCUAAAACCACCCCUUGAGACAGCCCAGGCCCCACCCAUUGCCAGGGCUACCUCACAGCCGAUCUUCUGGGUAUCUGUUCUGCCUACCGAUUCCUCCCCAAAUGCCACAGCUGCAUGAGUUGUGGAAGUCAACAGAGCACUGAUCCACAACCCUUGAAGGUCUUCAACACAAACCCUCUGUAAAUCUCCCGAAUUGAUGUGGGAACAUCAUUUAGGGUCAAUGUUCCCCAUGCUGAUAUUCAUACUGUACAAUAACCUGAUCCCUGUGUACUGCUUAUUUCUAAGGAGCUGUGGGAGCACCAGGAAGGAGAAGCAUUAAAUAUUAGAUGAAGUGGGGAGUUUGGCGACCACAGCUGCAUCCCAGCUCAUGACAUCACUUGGAAGGUCACCCAGGCUGUGGUGGCCAUAGGAAGACUCUGGCUGGGCGCCUAGGCUUCCUUCGUGCCUUCAGGAGGCAGAGCUUGGCAGGGCCCACCUGACUCUCGAGGGGCACCGUUCUGAGUGACAACUGUACACAGGCAGGGGUGACAGGGGAACCCCAACUCCAACUGCUGUUUGAGUCUCAAUGGCACUUAAUCCAGCAGGUGGGGCUUCCCUGCCUGCCAAGCCACAAGCCACAAGUCCCGUGGAUGGCUGCUGACAGCAGCCAGGUAGAGGGAGUGGCAGAGCAGGGCCUGGGGCAGCCUUGGGAUGGUGGGUGUGACUGCCCCAACCAUUCUGCCCACAGGACACACGGUCCCACAGGCA
Nannospalax galili (Upper Galilee mountains blind mole rat) is the source of this 2987-nucleotide long non-coding RNA. RefSeq lists it as uncharacterized. Lineage: Eukaryota; Metazoa; Chordata; Mammalia; Rodentia; Spalacidae. The record is from RefSeq and is a predicted model, not a curated record. The transcript has 2 exons.